GACGAACGCUGGCGGCGUGCUUAACACAUGCAAGUCGAACGGAAAGGCCCUGCUUUUGUUGGGUUCUCGAUUGGCGAACGGGUGAGUAUCACGUGAGUAACCUGCCCUUGACUUUGUGAUAACUUCUGGAAACUGGGGCUAAUACCGGGUAGGAUCUCUUGCUCCACGGGGGGGGUUGGAAAAUUUCGGCGUUUGGGGAUGGACUCGCGGCUUAUCAGCUGGUUGGUGGGGUAGUUGCUUACCAAGGGUUUGACGGGUAGCCGGCCUGGGAGGGGGACCGGCCACAUUGGGACUGAGAUAGGGCCCAGAAGCCUAUGGGAGGCAGUAGUGGGGAAUAUUGCACAAUGGGCGGACGCCAGAUACAGAAACGCCGCGUGCGGGAUGACGGGUUUCGGGUUGUAAACAGAUUUCGCAUGUGACGAAGAGUGCGUGACGGUAAUGGGUAAAAAAGCCCCGGCUAACUACGUG
RNAcentral lists this ribosomal RNA (468 nucleotides) under uncultured bacterium. RNAcentral describes it as "partial 16S ribosomal RNA". It matches the Rfam family "Bacterial small subunit ribosomal RNA", at positions 28 to 507 of the family's 1533-position model. The record is from RNAcentral.